Molecule: ribosomal RNA, 364 nt
Filed under: uncultured bacterium
Lineage: Bacteria
Description: bacterial SSU rRNA
Rfam family: Bacterial small subunit ribosomal RNA
Source: RNAcentral
UACAGGGGGAUAGUCAAUAGAAAUGUUGAAUAAUACCCCAUACGAUCUUCAAGAGGCAUUACUUGAAGAAGAAAGCUCCGGCGGUAGAAGAUGGGCAUGCGUCCUAUUAGUUAGUUGGUGAGGUAACGGCUCACCAAGACCACGAUAGGUAGGGGCCCUGAGAGGGGGAUCCCCCACACUGGUACUGAGACACGGACCAGACUCCUACGGGAGGCAGCAGUGAGGAAUAUUGGACAAUGGAGGCAACUCUGAUCCAGCCAUGCCGCGUGCAGGAAGACUGCCCUAUGGGUUGUAAACUGCUUUUAUACAGGAAGAAACCUACUUACGUGUAAGUAGCUGACGGUACUGUAAGAAUAAGGAUCGG